AGCACAGGGUUGGAGAGGAACUCCAGGCAUCUAUCUGCUCCAGGGGUCACCGAGGACUGAGAUAGUUCAGAAUGUGGAAGCUCACUGCUCCCCUUGGCUUCUUCGCCACCCCUUCCCCUCUCUAGCCCUGCUUCCAGUCUGUAGUUCACCUGCUUCUAAAACCACAACCUUCAUCGUGAACACAGAUCCAAGCUGAGAUACUCGAAAAUCACUCCUGAGACCCCAAGACAGGUGGAAGGACGUUGGACCCCAGGACCUAGGAUUGUGCAAUCAACGCCCCGCCCCACAGCAGACCCUCACUCCCAGUCCUUUGGCUCCCAGGACCCAUUUUUCUUCUCCAGGAAGCUCAUGGCCUCUAUCUUGCCGGGUCUCCUGGAGUUUCCUGGCUGGACAGGAUGUUCAGAUGAGAGGGGACCAAAAGCCUUUACAUACAACCAGCAUUGCAGAAGCCUCUGGAAUCUUCUCCUGCCACGUUCUUAGCCAUCAGAAGCAGCUAGGUCAUUUGUGAGCUGGGUUGAGACUAGGACAACAGGGGACCUGGGGACCGUUAAGAAGCGAGAACAUGUCUGCUUCUUUUAUGACCUUCAAUAUUAGUCACCAGGAAGUUGCUCCAUGAAGCCUACAACCUCGUAUCACUAACUCGGCUUGAAUUGAUUAAGGAAACUCGGAUGA
Molecule: long non-coding RNA, 672 nt
Filed under: Mus pahari (shrew mouse)
Lineage: Eukaryota; Metazoa; Chordata; Mammalia; Rodentia; Muridae
Description: lncRNA (MGP_PahariEiJ_G0004458.1)
Source: RNAcentral